RNAcentral lists this long non-coding RNA (691 nucleotides) under Gossypium barbadense (sea-island cotton). RNAcentral's name for it is "long non-coding RNA (GBAR_LNC011171)". The record is from RNAcentral. Lineage: Eukaryota; Viridiplantae; Streptophyta; Magnoliopsida; Malvales; Malvaceae.
ACUUUACCACCCCCAGGUUUAUUCCUAUGCCUUCUCUUUGAAGUUUUUUGUUUGGUGUUAUGCUUAUGUUUCAUGGGGAUACUUCUAAAUUGCUUGCAAUAUCAACUGAAGAUGAAAGUAAAAAGAAGAGAGGUGACACCAAGGACCAUCCCCUAGGCCAGUGGUUCUUGAAUUUCUCUGAAGCAGAUGAGCUGUUACAACUUGUAGCUGCUCGUCAGCAAGUAAGCAAGCAUGAUUUACUUCCUAGGAUGAGUUUCAUAUUCGUGAAAUGUGAAAUGCGAAGCAUCUUUAUUUUUUCUGCUUCCAGUUACAUUUGGUUUGUUCACAAACUUGUUCACCCACGUCUUUUCAAAAUAAUUGGACCAUUAUCACAUAGAGAUGUCAAGAAAUUCAAAUGUUUGGAUAUUUUAACUGGAAUGUGUAGGUACAAGCUCAUAUUGCUAAGCUCAGACGACAAAUUAGCUUGACUGACGGGCAGAAUCAACAGUUCAAACCACUCUGAAUAGUGAACUUACAGUAGUCCUGGAAAUUUUGAGACUUCCACUUCCAGUUUAAACUGAUUUCGCGGCAAAGGCACGUGAUAGCAUAGUAAUGUAACUGAGAUAUGUAUUUUCUAAGACUUUGCUGAGUUUUGUCUUGUUUUCUUCCUUUUCAUGGCUUUUGAGCUCUGUACUAAUAAAAGCAUGGGAAA